RNAcentral lists this ribosomal RNA (253 nucleotides) under uncultured bacterium. RNAcentral's name for it is "partial 16S ribosomal RNA". It matches the Rfam family "Bacterial small subunit ribosomal RNA", at positions 524 to 776 of the family's 1533-position model. The record is from RNAcentral.
UACGGAGGGUGCAAGCGUUAUCCGGAUUCACUGGGUUUAAAGGGUGCGUAGGUGGGCAAGUAAGUCAGUGGUGAAAUCUCCGGGCUUAACCCGGAAACUGCCAUUGAUACUAUUGGUCUUGAAUAUUGUGGAGGUGGGCGGAACGGGUCAUGUAGCGGUGAAAUGCUUAGAGAUGACCCGGAACACCGAUUGCGAAGGCAGCCCACUACGCAAUGAUUGACGCUGAGGCACGAAAGCGUGGGGAUCAAACAGG